AUGGCGAAGCGCCUCGCCGUCGCGCUCCUGCUGGUGCUCCUGCUCGCGUCCAGCGACGCGGGAGAGCUGAAUGGGAAGCACGGUGCUGGUAGUGCCGUCGGCGAGAUGAAGGCUCCGUCGCUCCUAGCCGGCGGGUCACCGGCUCUCGACGGCGGCCUCCCGGGGGCAGUGGACGGCCUCGCGGGGGGCCUCGGGUUGCCAGGGGCACCACCGAUUGUCGGGGUACUGAUUCCUGGGUCCCUCCCGUUCGAAAAUCCAGCACCAACAAGUCUCCAUGAUCAUCUAUGGUUCAUGUGCUAG
This 300-nucleotide ribosomal RNA is filed under the name Triticum aestivum (bread wheat). RNAcentral's name for it is "partial small subunit ribosomal RNA". Lineage: Eukaryota; Viridiplantae; Streptophyta; Magnoliopsida; Poales; Poaceae. The record is from RNAcentral.